GAGUUUGAUCAUGGCUCAGGAUGAACGCUAGCGGCAGGCUUAACACAUGCAAGUCGAGGGGUAGAAAUAGCUUGCUAUUUUGAGACCGGCGCACGGGUGCGUAACGCGUAUGCAACCUACCUUGUACAUAGGGAUAGCCCAGAGAAAUUUGGAUUAAUACCUAAUGGUGUUAUGAAUCGGCAUCGGUUUAUAACUAAAGAUUUAUCGGUACAAGAUGGGCAUGCGUCCCAUUAGCUAGUUGGUAUGGUAACGGCAUACCAAGGCUACGAUGGGUAGGGGUCCUGAGAGGGAGAUCCCCCACACUGGUACUGAGACACGGACCAGACUCCUACGGGAGGCAGCAGUGAGGAAUAUUGGUCAAUGGGCGCAAGCCUGAACCAGCCAUGCCGCGUGCAGGAUUAAGGUCCUAUGGAUUGUAAACUGCUUUUGUACGGGAAGAAACAACUCUUCGAGAAGAGUCUUGACGGUACCGUAAGAAUAAGGAUCGGCUAACUCCGUGCCAGCAGCCGCGGUAAUACGGAGGAUCCAAGCGUUAUCCGGAAUCAUUGGGUUUAAAGGGUCCGUAGGCGGCCUUAUAAGUCAGUGGUGAAAUCUCACGGCUCAACCGUGAAAUUGCCAUUGAUACUGUAGGGCUUGAAUGGCUGUGAAGUAACUAGAAUAUGUAGUGUAGCGGUGAAAUGCUUAGAUAUUACAUGGAAUACCGAUUGCGAAGGCAGGUUACUAACAGUUUAUUGACGCUGAUGGACGAAAGCGUGGGUAGCGAACAGGAUUAGAUACCCUGGUAGUCCACGCUGUAAACG
This 800-nucleotide ribosomal RNA is filed under the name Flavobacterium sp. TH105. RNAcentral's name for it is "bacterial SSU rRNA". It matches the Rfam family "Bacterial small subunit ribosomal RNA", at positions 9 to 808 of the family's 1533-position model. Lineage: Bacteria; Pseudomonadati; Bacteroidota; Flavobacteriia; Flavobacteriales; Flavobacteriaceae. The record is from RNAcentral.